Molecule: ribosomal RNA, 168 nt
Filed under: Triticum aestivum (bread wheat)
Lineage: Eukaryota; Viridiplantae; Streptophyta; Magnoliopsida; Poales; Poaceae
Description: partial small subunit ribosomal RNA
Source: RNAcentral
AUGGUGGGGACAAAGUUGAUAGUAGCGACAAUGCCAAGAAGGAAGGAUGAGGAAUCGGGGAAAGCUUGUGAAGAGAAGGCCCUUGAAAACACUGAUGCCAAGGAAGAGAAGUCUGAUGAUGCUGAUGAGUUGAAAGUGUCAGAUGCACAAGGGAGCAGGUUGCUCUAG